UACGAAGGGGGCUAGCGUUGUUCGGAAUUACUGGGCGUAAAGAGCGCGCAGGCGGUCGUUCAAGUCGCGUGUGAAAGCCCCCGGCUCAACUGGGGAGGGUCACGCGAUACUGAUCGACUCGAAGGCAGGAGAGGGAAGUGGAAUUCCCGGUGUAGUGGUGAAAUGCGUAGAUAUCGGGAGGAACACCAGUGGCGAAGGCGACUUCCUGGCCUGUUCUUGACGCUGAGGCGCGAAAGCUAGGGGGGCAAACGGG
This 253-nucleotide ribosomal RNA is filed under the name uncultured bacterium. Its description in RNAcentral is "partial 16S ribosomal RNA". It matches the Rfam family "Bacterial small subunit ribosomal RNA", at positions 524 to 776 of the family's 1533-position model. The record is from RNAcentral.